GGGGGAGCUCCCGGAAAAACGCUCGGGAAAUCGGGAAAAGUUCGAAUUAAUUAUGAAAAACGUGCGAAAAGUGUUCUCUAAAGCGCCCGCUUCAUUUUGAUGUAAUUUUCGAGGGUGCGCACCUGUUUUUUCUAUGGAAAAACAGUGAGAUAUAACCACAAAUUUCAUCGGCGUCAACCCUCUUGCAGUUAUCACGUGUCCAGAAGAAAAUGUAAGGAAAUGCCUCUCCCUCGAGGUUAGUGAAAUAACUUCAAAAGGCAUGGCAACUAUGGUGUAAAAGUCCCUCUGGGAGUCAUCGAGGGUCCAGAGGAGAACACAAGACAGAAAAAGACGAGAAGAUGAUUGGAACAACUGCUCCGGAGGAUCCUCAGGGUUUCGUUGUAAGAAUCAACAUCAUCAGGGACACUCCUCGAAGGAACAAAGGGGGCAGAGGGGCUUUUAGCAGCUGCAGAUCAUCAUUAGGAAGAUUAUGUUCUAUUUUUAUUAUUAUGUGAUUAUAUUAUGUUGUAUUUGUUUAUAUGGGCGUUAUAAUAAAUUAUGUUUUAAAUCUGAUUGACUUGUGUUUGAUUUCCCUAAUCGUAUUGUUGGGUUAGGGCACAAUAAAGUUUGUUGUUUUUGUGUUUUAUUUUUACCCUCUUCAAGAUUUAUUGCUCUGUAAAGGAGCGUCAAGGUUUGUACAUUUAUUUAUUUAUUGUUUUUAAUGUAUGUAUUUUGUUGUGUUGUUAUUGUUGGAGGGGGAACACAUUUUCCAAUUUUUCCCUUUAUCAUGGAAAUCCAUCCAUUAGAACCUUUUUUAUCCAGGUUUUUGUAAAUCAUGUCCAAGGGAAAAGACAGUCUGAGGUAACUUGGGUCAUAACUCCACUCCUAGUGGUCAGAUCGGAUUGAUUUUUGUUUUAAAAGAUUCUUUGAAGUCUUCUUCAGCUUUCACUAAAACAAUCAUGGAAAUCCAUCCAUUAGAACCUUUUUUAUCCAGGUUUUUGUAAAUCAUGUCCAAGAAAAAAGACAGUCUGAGGUAACUUGGGUCAUAACUCCACUUCUGGUGGUCAGAUCGGGUUGAUUUUUGUUUUAAAAGAUUCUUUGAACUGUUCUUCAGCUUUCACUAAAACAAUCAUGGAAAUCCAUCCAUUAGAACCUUUUUUAUCCAGGUUUUUGUAAAUCAUGUCCAAGAAAAAAGACAGUCUGAGGUAACUUGGGUCAUAACUCCACUUCUGGUGGUCAGAUCGGGUUGAUUUUGGUUUUAAAAGAUUCUUUGAAGUCUUCUUCAGCUUUCAAAACUAAAAUCAAGGAAAUCUGAUGAAUAGAACAGAAGUUAUUCCACUUUGUACCCAGAGAGCAUUUUCUCAGUGGACUUUCAACAAAUUUGUACAUAAAAACAAUUCUACUAAACCAAUUUCAAUGAUUUAUGUCUCUAAAGCUGCAGAACGUUCUUCUAAAGGUAUCAACAUCAAAAUCAAGCAAAUCUGAUGAAAAGAACAAAAGUUAUGCCACUUUGUAUCAAAACUGGUCUCGACUAACAGACUUUCAUUCAAGUGUCCACAUAAAGUCAGUUCUCCUCAAUCAAUUUCAAUUAUUGAUGUCUUCAAAGCUUCAGAAUGUUCUUCCAAAUCUGUCAGUACCAAAAUCAUGGAAAUUGAACGAUCAGAAGUCCAAAUAUUCCAUUUUUGGUGUUGGGUAUGGUGGUCUCGGAAAGUUGGACCUGUCAGUUGUACUUUCAAUUAUUUGGCUAUUUCUUGCACGAAACCCUAAAGUGCCAUACAUAUUCUUAAAAGGGAUGAAACCAGCUUUAAUUUCAUGUAUCCAACUUUGGUUUUAUGCAAAAUUCUUGAGUUUGUUUGCUAUAUUUGUUUUUAUGGUAAUGUAAAUAUGAACAUAACCAAAAAAUAUUUCGUGUGCCGUUUUAUGCGCACAAGCUCCUGGCAGUAUCUCUCUCUCGCUCUCUCUUGUGACAGGCUCCGAAACAAGGAGUCUUAAUGCGCAUGCCAGGCGCCAUUAGAGAACUUGGGGAACUGGUUGCUAAAAUUGGGGGGAAGCUCCCGGAAAAUCAUCCGGGAAAUCGGGAAAAGUGGGGAUUAAAUGUAAAAAACAUGUGAAAAGUGUUCUCUAAACUGCGAGCUUCAUUUUGAUGUAAUUUUCGUGGGUGCGCACCUGUUUCUUCUAUACAAAAACGGCCAGACCAACAGUGCUCCAGGAUGAAGCUGUUUUUCCAUCUCUCAAAUGGUGUCGAAGCUGCAGACUCUUUGUUUUGUUUCAAGAAGUCACCAGAGGCCACUUCUCGAUAGCAGAGACUGGACCAUAUACCUUUACCUUAUUAUAUAAUUUAAUUGUUUAUUUUGUAUUUAUUUAUAUAUAUGUAUAUAUUGUAUUAUUGACAAUAAAAACAUGUUUUAAAUUUGAAAAA
Anthonomus grandis grandis is the source of this 2398-nucleotide long non-coding RNA. RefSeq lists it as uncharacterized. NCBI's taxonomy places the organism in Eukaryota, Metazoa, Arthropoda, Insecta, Coleoptera, Curculionidae. The transcript has 7 exons. The record is from RefSeq and is a predicted model, not a curated record.